Molecule: ribosomal RNA, 515 nt
Filed under: uncultured bacterium
Lineage: Bacteria
Description: partial 16S ribosomal RNA
Rfam family: Bacterial small subunit ribosomal RNA
Source: RNAcentral
GAUGAACGCUGGCGGCGUGCCUAAUACAUGCAAGUCGAGCGAAUGGAUUAAGAGCUUGCUCUUAUGAAGUUAGCGGCGGACGGGUGAGUAACACGUGGGUAACCUGCCCAUAAGACUGGGAUAACUCCGGGAAACCGGGGCUAAUACCGGAUAACAUUUUGAACCGCAUGGUUCGAAAUUGAAAGGCGGCUUCGGCUGUCACUUAUGGAUGGACCCGCGUCGCAUUAGCUAGUUGGUGAGGUAACGGCUCACAAAGGCAACGAUGCGUAGCCGACCUGAGAGGCUGAGCGGCCACACUGGGACUGAGACACUGCCCAGACUCCUACGGGAGGCAGCAGUAGGGAAUCUUCCGCAAUGGACGAAAGUCUUACGGAGCAACGCCGCGUGAGUGGUGAAGGCUUUCGGGUCGUAAAACUCUGUUGUUAGGGAAGAACAAGUGCUAGUUGAAUAAGCUGGCACCUUGACGGUACCUAACCAGAAAGCCACGGCUAACUACGUGCCAGCCGCCGCUGUAA